Molecule: ribosomal RNA, 211 nt
Filed under: Vibrio cholerae HC-21A1
Lineage: Bacteria; Pseudomonadati; Pseudomonadota; Gammaproteobacteria; Vibrionales; Vibrionaceae
Description: partial 16S ribosomal RNA
Rfam family: Bacterial small subunit ribosomal RNA
Source: RNAcentral
AGAGUUUGAUCAUGGCUCAGAUUGAACGCUGGCGGCAGGCCUAACACAUGCAAGUCGAGCGGCAGCACAGAGGAACUUGUUCCUUGGGUGGCGAGCGGCGGACGGGUGAGUAAUGCCUGGGAAAUUGCCCGGUAGAGGGGGGAUAACCAUUGGAAACGAUGGCUAAUACCGCAUAACCUCGCAAGAGCAAAGCAGGGGACCUUCGGGCCUU